GAUGAACGCUAGCGGCAGGCCUAAUACAUGCAAGUCGGACGGGAUUCAGGAGCUUGCUUCUGAUGAGAGUGGCGCACGGGUGCGUAACACGUAUGUAACCUACCUUUAUCAGGGGGAUAGCCUCUCGAAAGAGAGAUUAAGCCCGCAUAAAAUCACAGCACAGCAUUGUGUAAUGAUCAAAUAUUUAUAGGAUAAAGAUGGGCAUGCGGAACAUUAGCUAGAUGGCGGGGUAACGGCCCACCAUGGCGACGAUGUUUAGGGGAUCUGAGAGGAUGGCCCCCCACACUGGUACUGAGACACGGACCAGACUCCUACGGGAGGCAGCAGUAAGGAAUAUUGGUCAAUGGGCGGAAGCCUGAACCAGCCAUGCCGCGUGCAGGAAGACGGCCCUACGGGUUGUAAACUGCUUUUAUACGGGAAUAAACCCAGAUACGUGUAUCUGGCUGAAUGUACUGUAAGAAUAAGGAUCGGCUAACUCCAUG
RNAcentral lists this ribosomal RNA (482 nucleotides) under uncultured bacterium. RNAcentral's name for it is "partial 16S ribosomal RNA". It matches the Rfam family "Bacterial small subunit ribosomal RNA", at positions 28 to 507 of the family's 1533-position model. The record is from RNAcentral.